UGGUCCCGGGGUUCAAGACGGGUCGCUGAUGACCAUUACGCCAGCAUCCUUGCGGAGCCACCGGCAGCUUGACGCAUCUUGCGGACGCGACCUCGGUCCCCACGAGAGUAUCGUACGGUGGGCUAUAACACCCCCCCGGAGGGGGGCCACGUUCCCACCGUUCUUAUCCUCCCACGAGAACCGAUGCUGGCCUGAGCCGGGCGGAGUGCACAGGGGAGAACCCCUGAUGAGCCGCCCGGCGCAAGUCUGGUCACAAGCGCUUCCCUUUCAACAAUUUCACGUACUGUUUAACCCCCUUUUCAAGGUGCUUUUCAUCUUUCGAUCACUCUACUUGUGCGCUAUCGGUCUCUGGCCGGUAUUUAGCUUUAGAAGAGAUUUACCUCCCAUUUUGAGCAGCAUUCCCAAACUACUCGACUCGUUGAAGGAGCUUCACACAGGCUUGGUGUCCAUCCAUACGGGGCUCUCACCCUCUAUGGCGUCCCGUUCCAGGGAACUCGGAAGGCACCUCGCCAGAAGCAUCCUCUGCAAAUUACAAUGCGGGCCGGAGCCAGCUUUCAAAUUUGAGCUGUUGCCGCUUCACUCGCCGUUACUAGGGCAAUCCCUGUUGGUUUCUUUUCCUCCGCUAUUUGGGAUAUGCA
This 638-nucleotide ribosomal RNA is filed under the name Cytospora mali. Its description in RNAcentral is "partial large subunit ribosomal RNA". The record is from RNAcentral. Lineage: Eukaryota; Fungi; Ascomycota; Sordariomycetes; Diaporthales; Cytosporaceae.